AUGGCCUAAAGGGUUGUGCCUAAUCUUUGGUGACUGCUUGUGUUUUGUGGAAUAACUUCUGUAUCCAUUUCCAGUGAUCUUACAUUCAAACACAGAGGCCGCACAGCCGGACCAGGCUGCACCCCACUGGGAAGCCUAACAAGCUUGCAGCUCGCUGGACUUGGACGUCUUCCUCCACAGACUCGGGCAGGGGCCAGGGAGCGCGCGAGUUACACAAUCUGCAUAUCAUUUGCAUACUAAGUCGGAAGCACGUGACUCUUCCUGAAACCGCCAUUCCCUCAGAAACCGGAGAUGACUGUGCACCUGAAGUUUGCCUUCCAUACCGUAAAUAAAAUUUUCCAAAAUGGAGGGAGUGGAGGUGUGGCUGUUCUACAAGUCUUCACGGGUGAACCAUUGUAGAUGAAAACUGGCAGCAGUUCCUCCUGAUGUCGAUGGUUAUACAUGAAAACUGAUUUGCAGUGUUUUGGGUGCUGGGAAGACCCAUCAUGUAUGAUGAGUGAAGAUGAUGUCCAUCAGAUGCUUGCAAGCCAAGUAGCAAAGAUUUUAAGAUCUGCAUCACCCGGGUAGACCUUGUCCACAGAGGCUUCAUUCAGUGGCGAAGACAGAAGAAGGGCUCCCCUGUCAAUAAACUCCAUGUGACUUUCAUUGGAGAAGUAGGAAUGGAGGAAGGAAGAUGGUGCUUAUAGGAGACAUGUUUUCAGCACCAUGCAUCUUCAGAAACUGGUGUUGUCAGUUCUUUGCAACAGGAGACAUUGAUGCUCUGCAGCUGAACAGAGACAAUAUGGAUGAUCUUGAAUAUGUUUUACUCAUAGAAAAGGUGGAGAAAUUGCAAGUUGUGGUUACACAGAGCUGCUAAAGUUGGACAGAAAGCCAGAUGCUGUUGGAUGCUGAGUGCCAGCAGAAGUCCAAGCGGAUCAAGAGAAAAUGCCAUCAUCAACUUCCUCCAGAACUUUCUGCAAGACCUUGAAAUCACAGGUCAGGAUGAAGAGCGGGGAAUGUGAAAGUCUCUGACCCAAGAUGUUUUGCAAAGUGAGAAUCAAGAACUCCUAACUGGACAAAGACACAAGCGCCCCCUAAGAUUUGACCACCAGCGCAAUGAAAAAUGUCUGGUCAACACAUUUGUUUCCCACUUGGAGAACAUGCAAACUCCACACGGAAAACCACAGGCAGACCAGGGUUUGAACCCAGAACCUUCUUACUGUGAAGCAACAGUGCUAACUGCUGAGCUACUGUGGCUACCCACGAGUAA
Long non-coding RNA from Lates calcarifer (barramundi perch), 1249 nucleotides. RefSeq lists it as uncharacterized. The transcript has 10 exons. The record is from RefSeq and is a predicted model, not a curated record. Lineage: Eukaryota; Metazoa; Chordata; Actinopteri; Centropomidae.